GAAUAUACACCCCCCCUAAUA
This 21-nucleotide transfer RNA is filed under the name Calotes sp. RNAcentral's name for it is "tRNA-Met". Lineage: Eukaryota; Metazoa; Chordata; Lepidosauria; Squamata; Agamidae. The record is from RNAcentral.